Molecule: ribosomal RNA, 592 nt
Filed under: Venturiocistella japonica
Lineage: Eukaryota; Fungi; Ascomycota; Leotiomycetes; Helotiales; Hyphodiscaceae
Description: eukaryotic LSU rRNA
Rfam family: Eukaryotic large subunit ribosomal RNA
Source: RNAcentral
CGGAGGAAAAGAAACCAACAGGGAUUACCUCAGUAACGGCGAGUGAAGCGGUAACAGCUCAAAUUUGAAAUCUGGCUCUUUUAGGGUCCGAGUUGUAAUUUGUAGAAGAUGCUUCGAGUGUAGCUCCGGUCUAAGUUCCUUGGAACAGGACGUCAUAGAGGGUGAGAAUCCCGUAUGUGACUGGUAGCUUUCGCUCAUGUGAAGCUCUUUCGACGAGUCGAGUUGUUUGGGAAUGCAGCUCAAAAUGGGUGGUAUAUUUCAUCUAAAGCUAAAUAUUGGCCAGAGACCGAUAGCGCACAAGUAGAGUGAUCGAAAGAUGAAAAGCACUUUGGAAAGAGAGUUAAACAGUACGUGAAAUUGUUGAAAGGGAAGCGCUUGCAACCAGACUUGCACUUUAGCGAUCAUCCGGGGUUCUCCUCGGUGCACUCGUUCUUGUUCAGGCCAGCAUCGGUUUCGGUGGUGGGAUAAAGGCCUUGGGAAUGUAGCUUCUUUCGGGGAGUGUUAUAGCCCUCGGUGCAAUGCCGCCUAUCGGGACCGAGGACCGCGCUUCGGCUAGGAUGCUGGCGUAAUGGUUGUAAGCGACCCGUCUUGA